RNAcentral lists this ribosomal RNA (499 nucleotides) under uncultured bacterium. RNAcentral's name for it is "partial 16S ribosomal RNA". It matches the Rfam family "Bacterial small subunit ribosomal RNA", at positions 28 to 507 of the family's 1533-position model. The record is from RNAcentral.
GACGAACGCUGGCGGCGUGCCUAAUACAUGCAAGUCGAGCGGACCAAACAGGAGCUUGCUCUUGUUUGGUUAGCGGCGGACGGGUGAGUAACACGUGGGUAACCUGCCCGUAAGACCGGGAUAACUCCGGGAAACCGGAGCUAAUACCGGAUAACACCGAAGACCGCAUGGUCUUUGGUUGAAAGGCGGCUUCGGCUGCCACUUACGGAUGGGCCCGCGGCGCAUUAGCUAGUUGGUGAGGUAACGGCUCACCAAGGCGACGAUGCGUAGCCGGCCUGAGGGGGUGACCGGCCACACUGGGACUGAGACACGGCCCAGACUCCUACGGGAGGCAGCAGUAGGGAAUCUUCCGCAAUGGACGAAAGGCUGACGGAGCGACGCCGCGUGAGCGAAGAAGGUCUUCGGAUCGUAAAGCUCUGUUGUUAGGGAAGAAGAAGCGCCGUUCGAACAGGGCGGCGCGGUGACGGUACCUAACGAGAAAGCCCCGGCUAACUACGUG